CUACACAUGCAGUCGAGCGGUUGASGGGAGCUUGCUCCCUGAUUCAGCGGCGGACGGGUGAGUAAUGCCUAGGAAUCUGCCUAUUAGUGGGGGACAACGUUUCGAAAGGAACSCUAAUACCSCAUACGUCCUACGGGAGAAAGCAGGGGACCUUCGGGCCUUGCGCUAAUAGAUGAGCCUAGGUCGGAUUAGCUAGUUGGUGGGGUAACGGCUCACCAAGGCGACGAUCCGUAACUGGUCUGAGAGGAUGAUCAGUCACACUGGAACUGAGACACGGUCCAGACUCCUACGGGAGGCAGCAGUGGGGAAUAUUGGACAAUGGGCGAAAGCCUGAUCCAGCCAUGCCGCGUGUGUGAAGAAGGUCUUCGGAUUGUAAAGCACUUUAAGUUGGGAGGAAGGGCAGUAAGCGAAUACCUUGCUGUUUUGACGUUACCGAYAGAAUAAGSACCGGCUAACUCUGUGCCAGCAGCCGCGGUAAUACAGAGGGUGCAAGCGUUAAUCGGAAUUACUGGGCGUAAAGCGCGCGUAGGUGGUUGUUCMAGUUGGAUGUGAAAGCCCCGGGCUCAACCUGGGAACUGCAUCCAAAACUGGCCAGCUAGAGUACGGUAGAGGGUGGUGGAAUUUCCUGUGUAGCGGUGAAAUGCGUAGAUAUAGGAAGGAACACCA
This 666-nucleotide ribosomal RNA is filed under the name Pseudomonas sp. AN24. Its description in RNAcentral is "bacterial SSU rRNA". It matches the Rfam family "Bacterial small subunit ribosomal RNA", at positions 49 to 711 of the family's 1533-position model. The record is from RNAcentral. Lineage: Bacteria; Pseudomonadati; Pseudomonadota; Gammaproteobacteria; Pseudomonadales; Pseudomonadaceae.